UCUUCCGCAAUGGACGAAAGUCUGACGGAGCAACGCCGCGCGAGUGAUGAAGGUUUUCGGAUCGUAAAACUCUGUUGUUAGGGAAGAACAAGUACCGUUCGAAUAGGGCGGUCCCUUGACGGUACCUAACCAGAAAGCCACGGCUAAAUACGUGCCCGAAGCCGCGGUAAUACGUAGGUGGCAAGCGUUGUCCGGAAUUAUUGGGCGUAGAGAGCGCGCAGGCGGUUUCUUAAGUCUGAUGUGAAAGCCCCCGGCUCAACCGGGGAGGGGCAUUGGAGACUGGGGAACUUGAGUGCAGAAGAGGAGAGUGGAAUUCCACGUGUAGCGGUGAAAUGCGUAGAGAUGUGGAGGAACACCAGUGGCGAAGGCGACUCUCUGGUCUGUAACUGACGCUGAGGCGCGAAAGCGUGGGGAGCGAACAG
Molecule: ribosomal RNA, 422 nt
Filed under: uncultured bacterium
Lineage: Bacteria
Description: bacterial SSU rRNA
Rfam family: Bacterial small subunit ribosomal RNA
Source: RNAcentral